GCCAGAGCUUACAAGCUAACCAGGUUUGAAACUAUGUCAGUACUUGCAUGGGAUACCACCUAGGAAUACCUAAGACCUCUGGGG
This 84-nucleotide ribosomal RNA is filed under the name Gopherus agassizii (Agassiz's desert tortoise). Lineage: Eukaryota; Metazoa; Chordata; Testudines; Testudinidae. The record is from RNAcentral.